Homo sapiens (human) is the source of this 776-nucleotide long non-coding RNA. Ensembl annotates it as ribosomal protein L23a pseudogene 7. Its record names the gene RPL23AP7. The record is from Ensembl. NCBI's taxonomy places the organism in Eukaryota, Metazoa, Chordata, Mammalia, Primates, Hominidae.
AGGGAGUGCGCAUGCGGCCGAGUGCGGGACUGGGGCUCCUGGCUGUGGGUGUGGUACCGAGGCUUCAGCGGGUGCCGCCCGCCUAGAGGGAGUGGAGCGGUGAGCACGUCAGGGGUGGGGGGCGCAGGUCAAGCUUUCACCAGUUUUUAAUUCUUUGAUGGGGUAAAUUUGAGCAAUUUUCUCGACUUGUCGACAUUCGUUAUUAACUGAGCAGGAAUCAGGAGAGGAACCCGGUCCUCUCCACACAGCCCAGCAGAGAGCCUACGACUAGAUUUGCAUCUUUACGUCCUGCGCGGAGGCUGCUACACACAUGCAGAAGUCAUGCUGGUGGCCUGGACAGUGAAGGGAGAGAAGUGGAUUUGGGAGACAUUUAGGAGGAACAGUAAGAGGACCUUGUGCAUGAAUAAUUUGUUUCCACACUACAGAAAGAAUCCCAGACUUCUUAGAGAACCCAGUGACUUUUUGCACCUUAAAUCUGUGAAAUCCUCAUGUUUUCUUCUGCCGUAUCCAUAGUUCAAACAAAGAUGAGGCAAAGCUAGAUGCAUUCCUGAAGGAACCCAAGAAAUUCCUCUCUUUAUUUCUCUGGAAUGAAAUGAAUUCUCUAGACCACCAGUUCUAACCUUCAAAAACCAAACCUGUUUGUGAGAUCUCCUUCAAAUACUACUGUAGACCCCAGUGUUUAUUCAUUAAAUUUUUAAAAUAUUUGUUUUAUUUGGAAUCCAUGUAUUUGUAAUUUUAGUGUUUGUAUUAAUAUAAGGGAGAAAUGUUUAAAUCUG